GUGAAACCAUUCAUAAUGUGGUUAGACUUGGUCAGAAGAUUAGGUGUAUAUUUAUAUACCUAAUCUUUUGACCAAGUCUAACCACAUUACGUGCUUUAAACUGCUAUUGUAAAACAAACUUUUUGCAAAACUCUAAAAACACAGCUAUCUACAUUAUACACAUCAUUCAAAAGUAGCAGCUCUUUUGUUCCAUUUGGAAAAACACUGCCAUUUAAAUGCCACACUCAUUUAAUGAUGACCUUCAGCCAGUGAUCAUGUGUAAAAACAGACAUAAUUUGUUCACUAAGAAAUCAAAACGAAAGAUUUUUACCCCCUUGCAUUUCUGUUUACAUUGUAUAUAUAUAUGUAUGUAUAUCUAUAUAUAUAUAUGUAUAUCUAUAUACUGUGUGUGUGUGUGCGCGCGCGCGGUUUGCCAUCAUUCUUCUCUUCUUUCUUUAUUAGUUCAGUCUCUACAGCACGUCUGCAUGAUCUUGAGCAGUUUAAGCUCCUUCACAGCUCUGUUAUGGCGAAUGUUCAAACCAGGAUUCUUCAUCUGGAUCUCUCUAUCAUCAUUAUUUUCCUGAUUCAUGCAGAUUAUUCAAAAUCUAAUCAAGAGCAAAGGAUUCAGCAGCACAUCAACAAAACAGUGUUUGUGGGGGAAACAGUUACACUUCACUGCAACAAAACCCAACUUGAUGAUGAUUUCACAUGGAAAAUGAACAACUCUGUUAUUUUUAGGCAGGUCUCUUAUUUUAACAUAACUAAGACAAACUUCAGCUCAAACAGGAUUCACAUCGACCCCGCAGCUCCAAGAGAAUUAACAAUACAUCAAAUACAAGCGUCUGAUGCAGGAAACUACAGCUGUUACCCAGCAGCAAUAAGAUGGACAUUAACAAUAACAGAAAACACAACCAGACCAGAAUCACUCAAACAAAUGCCGCUGUACAUCAUCUACUCAUGUUCUGGAGUCAUUAUGAUCUGUCUGAUCAUAACCAUAUGCAUUCACAGUAAACUGAAGCAGAUGAAGACAAACUCUGAUCUCUGUGAAACAGACCAGGAGGCAGAAAGUUUAUUUACCACAGAACAGGUGAAGAUGAUCUCUGACUGUGACAAACACACAGUAACAGCCUGUGUAAGUCAGUUGAACUCGACACACACCUCCAUCAUGUUUACCACAUCAUGUCUGUCCCUGGCCCCCAGCAAACAUCACUGACUCACUUCUUGAUGGAAACAUGUUGUGCAAUCAAACUACUGCUCUGUAAAAAUCACUUUUGUUCCAUCCAUUUGUGUCAUUUUAACAGCUAUAAAUAUACAUGAUAUUUAUAAACAGCACAGCAGAUAUUUGAACAAGAGAUGAAAUGUAUGUGUUUGUGUUCCACUUGUUUUAUCUUUGUUUUCUUCAGGUCUACAGUCUUCAUACAGUUUCAUGAACAUCUUUUCUUCUCAAGACAGCAGUGUGUGUCUGACACUCAACAGAUCAUCAUUACAAUACAGGAAGAUGUUUGAGAACGAGACCAUUACAAUAAUAAAUACAGUCUCAGAGGAUCUGUAUGUGAAUGU
Long non-coding RNA from Cyprinus carpio (common carp), 1539 nucleotides. Lineage: Eukaryota; Metazoa; Chordata; Actinopteri; Cypriniformes; Cyprinidae. The record is from Ensembl.